AAAUUGAAGAGUUUGAUCAUGGCUCAGAUUGAACGCUGGCGGCAGGCCUAACACAUGCAAGUCGAGCGGCAGCGGGAAGUAGUUUACUACUUUGCCGGCGAGCGGCGGACGGGUGAGUAAUGUCUGGGAAACUGCCUGAUGGAGGGGGAUAACUACUGGAAACGGUAGCUAAUACCGCAUAACGUCUUCGGACCAAAGUGGGGGACCUUCGGGCCUCACGCCAUCGGAUGUGCCCAGAUGGGAUUAGCUAGUAGGUGGGGUAAUGGCUCACCUAGGCGACGAUCCCUAGCUGGUCUGAGAGGAUGACCAGCCACACUGGAACUGAGACACGGUCCAGACUCCUACGGGAGGCAGCAGUGGGGAAUAUUGCACAAUGGGCGAAAGCCUGAUGCAGCCAUGCCGAGUGUGUGAAGAAGUCCUUCGGGUUGUAAAGCACUUUCAG
RNAcentral lists this ribosomal RNA (442 nucleotides) under Yersinia enterocolitica subsp. palearctica YE-149. Its description in RNAcentral is "bacterial SSU rRNA". It matches the Rfam family "Bacterial small subunit ribosomal RNA", at positions 1 to 439 of the family's 1533-position model. Lineage: Bacteria; Pseudomonadati; Pseudomonadota; Gammaproteobacteria; Enterobacterales; Yersiniaceae. The record is from RNAcentral.